GUAGCCCAGGAAUUGUUCCAUGGUGGUGAAUAAGGCAAUUGUGUCUCUAUCUUUAUGAUGUUCUUACAAGAUUUGUCAACAGAAAAUGAAAGAUCAUGUCAGAAUAUGAUGUGUAUUGUAGGGACAAUAAAAUGUGUAAGGUGACAGAGAGCGGCAAGAAAGGAGGGGAAGAGAAGAAGGAAAUUGCAGACAGAGGAGCAGAGAAAGAGCUAGACUUGGGGACCAACAUUCUAGGGGAGCAGGCCAUGACAGCAGAACGGGAGUGACCUGGCCACAGGUCAGAGAGGAAGACACCUACUUGCAUGGUGGCAAGGGAUGACCCAAGGGGUUAAGCAGGAGCCUGCUCUGAGGAGGACAGUAUGGAUGGCAUGCUGGCCCCAGCUGUCCGUGACCCUCACGUGGCACCUCUGGUCUCCUCUGGGUUUUGACGUCGGUGCUAAGUAUGUUUUGUUCUGUAUUCCUGUGUCCAGUGAUAACAGAAGUUGUGAAUUAUGGCCACAGCAGCAAAUGUUUUUAAUCUUCCAUGAAACAAAUGCAGUGUGUUUUCUGCCUGGGGGCUGCGGCGGCAAGGCCGAGGCCAGAGCUGCAGCUGCCACGAUACUGCGACCUCAGCUGACGUCAAUGCAAGUCAUUCCAGGCCGAGGGCUCCACUCAGGAAGCUUGCAAGUGAUACUGAAAACAAAUUUGCAUUGUUUCCUUUCACCGGAACUCAGCUCCUCUUCAUUCCACUGAGAUGUUUUCACCAGUCUCUGUAUAAGCAGCAUGUUGAAUAAACCCAGCUUGUGAGAUGCA
This is a long non-coding RNA of Cavia porcellus (domestic guinea pig), 792 nucleotides long. RefSeq lists it as uncharacterized. Lineage: Eukaryota; Metazoa; Chordata; Mammalia; Rodentia; Caviidae. The record is from RefSeq and is a predicted model, not a curated record. The transcript has 2 exons.